CUUGCUCAUGACGUUAAGCAGGACAGUGUGGUGUCUUUUUAUGAAUGGUAUGAGACCAGCAACCAUCUGUGGCUGGUGGUGGAGAUGAGCACAGGUUAAGCUGGGACCCUUUAACAUCAGACCCAUUCUGGAGGAAAGCAUUUUCAGAGACCAGCAUCACUAUGGGAAAAGAGCAGGAUAAUGUCUCCCUGAUAUCCAGCCUGCAUUUGGCCCCUGUGUCUUCUCAGAGAGGAAGCCCAGACAGCACCUGCUGACCCUGCCAGCCCAAACCUCAG
Long non-coding RNA from Sinocyclocheilus grahami, 275 nucleotides. RefSeq lists it as uncharacterized. The transcript is spliced from 3 exons. NCBI's taxonomy places the organism in Eukaryota, Metazoa, Chordata, Actinopteri, Cypriniformes, Cyprinidae. The record is from RefSeq and is a predicted model, not a curated record.